AUGAAAGAACAAUUACACAUUGAGCAAACUGUAUGCAAACAAAUGAAUGAAAUAAAACUAAUUAUGCAAAUACGGCUAAAUUUAAUGUUAGUUCCAGUUAGAAAAAACUCAUGUUUCCCAAUGCAGACUGAGCAGAUGGUAGACUUAGUUUGGAGCAGAGAUAUGCAUCAGAAUUUUAAUCUUUGCAAAAUUAAAAGAAUGAUUGCUGCAACUUGGACCAAGUUCUUAUCCACUCACUGGUUACAGCAUCUUGCUAAUUCAGUUCAGGCAUCUAAUCAUGAUCUAGCAGUGUUAAAAUGUUGA
This 303-nucleotide ribosomal RNA is filed under the name Triticum aestivum (bread wheat). Its description in RNAcentral is "partial small subunit ribosomal RNA". The record is from RNAcentral. Lineage: Eukaryota; Viridiplantae; Streptophyta; Magnoliopsida; Poales; Poaceae.